RNAcentral lists this unclassified non-coding RNA (389 nucleotides) under soil metagenome. Its description in RNAcentral is "partial contains 5.8S ribosomal RNA, internal transcribed spacer 2, and large subunit ribosomal RNA". The stretch from base 1 to 120 matches the Rfam family "5.8S ribosomal RNA", at positions 35 to 154 of the family's 154-position model. The record is from RNAcentral.
GAUGAAGAACGCAGCGAAAUGCGAUAAGUAAUGUGAAUUGCAGAAUUCAGUGAAUCAUCGAAUCUUUGAACGCACCUUGCGCUCCUUGGUAUUCCGAGGAGCAUGCCUGUUUGAGUGUCAUUAAAUUCUCAACCUUAUUAGCUUUUGCUGAUAAUGGCUUGGACUUGGGGGUCUUUUUGCUGGCUUUCAUUAGUCUGCUCCCCUUAAAUGUAUUAGCCGGUGCCCCGCAGUGGAACCGUCUAUUGGUGUGAUAAUUAUCUACGCCGUGGACGUCUGCUAUAAUGGGUUUGCGCUGCUUCUAACCGUCUCUCGGGACAACACAAAUGACAAUUUGACCUCAAAUCAGGUAGGACUACCCGCUGAACUUAAGCAUAUCAAUAAGCGGAGGA